This is a non-coding RNA of Oryctolagus cuniculus (rabbit), 639 nucleotides long. Lineage: Eukaryota; Metazoa; Chordata; Mammalia; Lagomorpha; Leporidae. The record is from the annotation of a RefSeq genome assembly.
AGAGCACCGCCCACCUCUCUGGGCAUUUAGGAGCAGGCUGCUCCCGCCCCAUGCAGGAGGCAGUGCCAGGCAGGACCCAGCAUGGACACGAGGGCCCCCACUCAGCUGCUGGGGCUCCUGCUGCUCUGGCUCCCAGGUGCCAGAUGUGCCUAUGAUAUGACCCAGACUCCAUCCUCCGUGUCUGCCGCUGUGGGAGGCACAGUCACCAUCAAUUGCCAGGCCAGUCAGAGCAUUAGCAACCAACUAUCCUGGUAUCAGCAGAAACCAGGGCAGCCUCCCAAGCUCCUGAUCUACUGGGCAUCCACUCUGGCAUCUGGGGUCCCAUCGCGGUUCAAAGGCAGUGGAUCUGGGACACAGUUCACUCUCACCAUCAGUGGCGUGCAGUGUGACGAUGCUGCCACUUACUACUGUCAAAGCAUUUAUAGUAGUAGUGCUGGUACCACAGUGUUACAAGCCCUAAUAAAAACCACCCAGGAAAGCAACAGCACCGACAUGACCAUGUCCCUGCUGUUCUAAAGGAAAUGAAUUAUUCUGUCUGAGUAUUCAAAGCUUGAGCAUCAUUUUGGAUUCAUCGAGUAAAAGAGAAAUCAUUAUAUGUAUUCCAAGCAAAAUGAGUUCAAAUACAAGUGAUUAUAUAAA